UAUGAAGAACGUAGCAAAAUGCGAUAAGUAAUGUGAAUUGCAGAAUUCAGUGAAUCAUCGAAUCUUUGAACGCACAUUGCGCCCGCUGGUAUUCCGGCGGGCAUGCCUGUUCGAGCGUCAUUUCAACCCUCAAGCCCCCGGGUUUGGUGUUGGGGAUCGGCUCUGCCCUUCUGGGCGGUGCCGCCCCCGAAAUACAUUGGCGGUCUCGCUGCAGCCUCCAUUGCGUAGUAGCUAACACCUCGCAACUGGAACGCGGCGCGGCCAUGCCGUAAAACCCCAACUUCUGAAUGUUGACCUCGGAUCAGGUAGGAAUACCCGCUGAACUUAAGCAUAUCAAUAAGCGGAGGA
RNAcentral lists this unclassified non-coding RNA (348 nucleotides) under soil metagenome. Its description in RNAcentral is "partial contains 5.8S ribosomal RNA, internal transcribed spacer 2, and large subunit ribosomal RNA". The stretch from base 2 to 120 matches the Rfam family "5.8S ribosomal RNA", at positions 36 to 154 of the family's 154-position model. The record is from RNAcentral.